This 316-nucleotide ribosomal RNA is filed under the name uncultured bacterium. RNAcentral describes it as "bacterial SSU rRNA". It matches the Rfam family "Bacterial small subunit ribosomal RNA", at positions 28 to 350 of the family's 1533-position model. The record is from RNAcentral.
GAUGAACGCUAGCGGCAGGCUUAACACAUGCAAGUCGAGGGGUAGAAGCAGCUUGCUGCUUUGAGACCGGCGCACGGGUGCGUAACGCGUAUGCAAUCUACCUUUUACAGAGGGAUAGCCCAGAGAAAUUUGGAUUAAUACCUCAUAGUAUGUGAGAAUCGCAUGGUUUUCAUAUUAAAGUUCCAACGGUAAAGAUGAGCAUGCGUCCCAUUAGCUAGAUGGUAAGGUAACGGCUUACCAUGGCGACGAUGGGUAGGGGUCCUGAGAGGGAGAUCCCCCACACUGGUACUGAGACACGGACCAGACUCGUGAUGCU